This 468-nucleotide ribosomal RNA is filed under the name uncultured bacterium. Its description in RNAcentral is "partial 16S ribosomal RNA". It matches the Rfam family "Bacterial small subunit ribosomal RNA", at positions 28 to 507 of the family's 1533-position model. The record is from RNAcentral.
GACGAACGCUGGCGGCGUGCUUAACACAUGCAAGUCGAACGGAAAGGCCCUGCUCUUGUGGGGUGCUCGAGUGGCGAACGGGGGAGUAAAACGUGAGUAACCUGCCCUUGACUUUGGGAUAACUUCAGGGAACUGGGGCGAAUACCCGAUAGGAGCUCCUGCUGCAUGGUGGGGGUUGGAAAGUUUCGGCGGUUGGGGAUGGACUCGCGGCUUAUCAGCUUGGUGGUGGGGUAGUGGCUUACCAAGGCUUUGACGGGUAGCCGGCCUGAGAGGUUGACCGGCCACAUUGGGCCUGCGAUACGCCCCAGACUCCUACGGGACGCAGCAGUGGGGAGUAUUGCACAAUGGGCGGAAGCCUGAUACAGCAACGCCGCGUGCGGAAUGACGGCCUUCGGGUUGUAAACCGCUUUCGCCUGUGACGAGGCGUGAGUGACGGUACUGAGUAAAGAAGCCCCGGCUAACUACGUG